This 450-nucleotide ribosomal RNA is filed under the name uncultured bacterium. RNAcentral's name for it is "partial 16S ribosomal RNA". It matches the Rfam family "Bacterial small subunit ribosomal RNA", at positions 354 to 796 of the family's 1533-position model. The record is from RNAcentral.
GUGGGGAAUUUUGGACAAUGGGCGAAAGCCUGAUCCAGCCAUGCCGCGUGCAGGAUGAAGGCCUUCGGGUUGUAAACUGCUUUUGUACGGAACGAAAAGACUCCUUCUAAUAAAGGGGGUCCAUGACGGUACCGUAAGAAUAAGCACCGGCUAACUACGUGCCAGCAGCCGCGGUAAUACGUAGGGUGCAAGCGUUAAUCGGAAUUACUGGGCGUAAAGCGUGCGCAGGCGGUUAUAUAAGACAGAUGUGAAAUCCCCGGGCUCAACCUGGGAACUGCAUUUGUGACUGUAUAGCUAGAGUACGGUAGAGGGGGAUGGAAUUCCGCGUGUAGCAGUGAAAUGCGUAGAUAUGCGGAGGAACACCGAUGGCGAAGGCAAUCCCCUGGGCCUGCACUGACGCUCAUGCACGAAAGCGUGGGGAGCAAACAGGAUUAGAUACCCCUGUAGUCC